GACGAACGCUGGCGGCGUGCUUAACACAUGCAAGUCGAACGGAAAGGCCCUGCUUUUGUGGGGUGCUCGAGUGGCGAACGGGUGAGUAACACGUGAGUAACCUGCCCUUGACUUUGGGAUAACUUCAGGAAACUGGGGCUAAUACCGGAUAGGAGCUCCUGCUGCAUGGUGGGGGUUGGAAAGUUUCGGCGGUUGGGGAUGGACUCGCGGCUUAUCAGCUUGUUGGUGGGGUAGUGGCUUACCAAGGCUUUGACGGGUAGCCGGCCUGAGAGGGUGACCGGCCACAUUGGGACUGAGAUACGACCCAGACUCCUACAGGAGGCAGCAGUGAUGAAUAUUACACAAUGGGCGGAAGCCUGAUGCAGCAACGCCGCGUGCGGGAUGACGGCCUUCGGGUUGUAAACCGCUUUCGCCUGUGACGAAGCGUGAGUGACGGUAAUGGGUAAAGAAGCACCGGCUAACUACGUG
Molecule: ribosomal RNA, 468 nt
Filed under: uncultured bacterium
Lineage: Bacteria
Description: partial 16S ribosomal RNA
Rfam family: Bacterial small subunit ribosomal RNA
Source: RNAcentral